GUCAGGGCUGGGGGCGUGGUUACGAGGAGGGGAGUGGUCUCCAGGCUCCUCCCCCGGAAGUGAGGCAGGGCGUCACUUCCGCCGUCUCCCCGCCGCCGCCAUGCCGCUCGCCGUUCGCCUGGCCCGCGCCCUGCUGCGCCCCGCGGCCCGGCCCGGCCCGGCCCGGCGCGGCCUCGUCACGGGGCCUCCGCAGGAUCCGUUGGGGCCCGCGGAGACCGCCGCCGGUUUCGCCGCCAUGUUCGCCGUGUGCCUGGGCCCCGCCGCCUGGGUGCUGGCGCACCUGGAGGACUACAAGAACCGGGAGUGAGCCGGGGCCUGCACCGGGACCCGCACCGGGACCACGAACGGGACCAGCACCGGGACCACGAACGGGACCAGCGCCCCCCGGGCCCCGCGCCCCAAUAAAGGCCGCUGAUGCUC
Cygnus atratus (black swan) is the source of this 420-nucleotide long non-coding RNA. RefSeq lists it as uncharacterized. The transcript is spliced from 2 exons. NCBI's taxonomy places the organism in Eukaryota, Metazoa, Chordata, Aves, Anseriformes, Anatidae. The record is from RefSeq and is a predicted model, not a curated record.